RNAcentral lists this unclassified non-coding RNA (218 nucleotides) under Epicoccum nigrum. Its description in RNAcentral is "partial internal transcribed spacer region". The stretch from base 1 to 46 matches the Rfam family "Eukaryotic small subunit ribosomal RNA", at positions 1786 to 1831 of the family's 1831-position model. Lineage: Eukaryota; Fungi; Ascomycota; Dothideomycetes; Pleosporales; Didymellaceae. The record is from RNAcentral.
AAGUCGUAACAAGGUUUCCGUAGGUGAACCUGCGGAAGGAUCAUUACCUAGAGUUUGUAGACUUCGGUCUGCUACCUCUUACCCAUGUCUUUUGAGUACCUUCGUUUCCUCGGCGGGUCCGCCCGCCGAUUGGACAACAUUCAAACCCUUUGCAGUUGCAAUCAGCGUCUGAAAAAACUUAAUAGUUACAACUUUCAACAACGGAUCUCUUGGUUCUG